RNAcentral lists this ribosomal RNA (805 nucleotides) under Klebsiella pneumoniae. RNAcentral's name for it is "partial 23S ribosomal RNA". It matches the Rfam family "Bacterial large subunit ribosomal RNA", at positions 419 to 1227 of the family's 2925-position model. The record is from RNAcentral. Lineage: Bacteria; Pseudomonadati; Pseudomonadota; Gammaproteobacteria; Enterobacterales; Enterobacteriaceae.
GGGACACGUGGUAUCCUGUCUGAAUAUGGGGGGACCAUCCUCCAAGGCUAAAUACUCCUGACUGACCGAUAGUGAACCAGUACCGUGAGGGAAAGGCGAAAAGAACCCCGGCGAGGGGAGUGAAAAAGAACCUGAAACCGUGUACGUACAAGCAGUGGGAGCACCUUCGGGUGUGACUGCGUACCUUUUGUAUAAUGGGUCAGCGACUUAUAUUCUGUAGCAAGGUUAACCGUAUAGGGGAGCCGCAGGGAAACCGAGUCUUAACUGGGCGUUAAGUUGCAGGGUAUAGACCCGAAACCCGGUGAUCUAGCCAUGGGCAGGUUGAAGGUUGGGUAACACUAACUGGAGGACCGAACCGACUAAUGUUGAAAAAUUAGCGGAUGACUUGUGGCUGGGGGUGAAAGGCCAAUCAAACCGGGAGAUAGCUGGUUCUCCCCGAAAGCUAUUUAGGUAGCGCCUCGUGAACUCAUCUUCGGGGGUAGAGCACUGUUUCGGCUAGGGGGUCAUCCCGACUUACCAACCCGAUGCAAACUACGAAUACCGAAGAAUGUUAUCACGGGAGACACACGGCGGGUGCUAACGUCCGUCGUGAAGAGGGAAACAACCCAGACCGCCAGCUAAGGUCCCAAAGUCAUGGUUAAGUGGGAAACGAUGUGGGAAGGCACAGACAGCCAGGAUGUUGGCUUAGAAGCAGCCAUCAUUUAAAGAAAGCGUAAUAGCUCACUGGUCGAGUCGGCCUGCGCGGAAGAUGUAACGGGGCUAAACCAUGCACCGAAGCUGCGGCAGCGACACUAUGUGUUGUUGG